This 75-nucleotide transfer RNA is filed under the name bacterium. RNAcentral describes it as "tRNA-Lys". It matches the Rfam family "tRNA". Rfam says of the family: Transfer RNA (tRNA) molecules are approximately 80 nucleotides in length. Their secondary structure includes four short double-helical elements and three loops (D, anti-codon, and T loops). Further hydrogen bonds mediate the characteristic L-shaped molecular structure. tRNAs have two regions of fundamental functional importance: the anti-codon, which is responsible for specific mRNA codon recognition, and the 3' end, to which the tRNAs corresponding amino acid is attached (by aminoacyl-tRNA synthetases). tRNAs cope with the degeneracy of the genetic code in two manners: having more than one tRNA (with a specific anti-codon) for a particular amino acid; and 'wobble' base-pairing, i.e. permitting non-standard base-pairing at the 3rd anti-codon position. The record is from RNAcentral.
GGCCGGUUAGCUCAAUGGCAGAGCAUCCGCCUUUUAAGCGGAGGGUUGGGGGUUCGAGUCCCCCGCCGGCCACCA